UUCUUCUAGAAAAUAUUAAAAGUAAGUUCUGCCCAAUGAAUAAUUCAAUGGCCGCGGUAUCCUAACCGUGCAAAGGUAGCAUAAUAACUUGCCCGUUAAUUGCGGGCUAGCAUGAACGAAUAAACGAAAUAAUAUCUCUAUCAACUUAACCUAAAUAAAUUAACCUUCAAGUGAAGAGGCUUGAAUAAAUUUGAGGGACAAGAAGACCCUAUAGAGCUUUACUUAUAGAAACAUGACAAAUGUUAAAAAGUUCGGUUGGGGCGACCUAGGAACAAGUAUCAUCCUAUUCCAAAAAGAUAGCUAUAUCAACAUAAUGACCCUAAACAGAUCAACAAACUAAGCUACCUUAGGGAUAACAGGCUAAUCUUUCUAGAGAGACCUUAUCAAUAGAAAGGUUUGGCACCUCGAUGUUGGCUUAGGGAAUCUAUAUGAUGCAGAAGUCAUAAAAGAAGGUUUGUUCAACCUUUAAUACCCU
This 475-nucleotide ribosomal RNA is filed under the name Eclipidrilus palustris. Its description in RNAcentral is "partial 16S ribosomal RNA". It matches the Rfam family "Bacterial large subunit ribosomal RNA", at positions 1831 to 2597 of the family's 2925-position model. Lineage: Eukaryota; Metazoa; Annelida; Clitellata; Lumbriculida; Lumbriculidae. The record is from RNAcentral.